CACCACUGCUGCUAUUGGAAAGGUAUGAAAAUUUCUUUUCACUUGAGCCUAAGCUACUUCCAUUUUAACCAGUUCAUAUCUGUAUCUGCAGCAAUAUAAUUGUUGCUUUUAAAUGUAAUGUUAAAAUGCACAUUUAUAUGUGUGUUAUUGUUGUCUUAGUGUGUGGUUUAGCUGAACUUUACAUUGGACCAUACAAUCAAGGCUUCUCUAGAGUUUUGAAUGCUUUUGGAAGUUUAUAAUCUGUUGAAAGGUUAAGUGGCUUUCACAGCAAUGCUAAAGGCAUUUGCACUCUUUCUUACAGAAAUUCUCAUCUUUAUUAUGUUGCUGGCUGAGGCAAAUACAUCUUUUAACAUUCUGUUAUAUUGAUGGCUAAAUAGUUUUAUCCGAACAUUUCUAGAUCUGACAGAUUUUUUUUGGCUGGUGUUUUC
This 428-nucleotide unclassified non-coding RNA is filed under the name Hevea brasiliensis (rubber tree). Lineage: Eukaryota; Viridiplantae; Streptophyta; Magnoliopsida; Malpighiales; Euphorbiaceae. The record is from RNAcentral.